Molecule: long non-coding RNA, 1054 nt
Organism: Notothenia coriiceps (black rockcod)
Lineage: Eukaryota; Metazoa; Chordata; Actinopteri; Perciformes; Nototheniidae
Exons: 2
Source: RefSeq, a predicted model, not a curated record
UUGUGUGUUGCAGACUGUCGAAGAGGAGCACCACCGGCUGCAGGAGGCCCUUUCCAAGUUCUCACUGGGGGGGGGGAACUUCCAGUGAGACACCAUCACGCCACCUGCUGGCCACUAGAUUUUUACUGGUGCUGGUUUGGAGUGCAGAGUGACUUUCAGAGGCUUCCCUGGCAAUUCCUAAACCCUCGUAGGCCAUGCGUGGACCCUGCUGCAUCAUGGGGCUUUGUGCACAGUGCAGGGGCUCACUGAUGAAACAUGGGAGGGAGUGUGCAUGUGUAUGUGUGUCUGUUUGCAUGCAUGCUUGGUAGAGAGGUAAACAAAGAAAAAAAAAAGACAAACGGGACAUCCUACUUUGAGGUUGUUUUUGCAGAGAGGUGCCAAAAAAAAAAAAGAAGCAAUAUUGUGCUAUGAGAGAUGCUGCCUAACAAACUGUAGUGAUUGCGAUCUGCUGUAACACACAUACGCACACCAGAGACAUGCACGCUAGAAAAUAAUUUACUUUAUUGCCAAUAGCAGAUGUGCAGCAAAGGAUAUUCCUAUGAUUACCCGCCUGGUUAUCUAUGAGCAGGUGGAGGCCUUGAGGGGCCAAUGUAGCGUUUGAAGAUGUAUUGAAAUACUACUGCUGACAUAUAGUGUUAUUUCUAGUCUAUGCCAAAGCUCCACAGAGAUGCACUUUUUUUAUAAUCAAACCAAGUUAAGGCCACACUGUUUCCGCGCAUUGUAUUUACUCUAUUCAGUACAGAUUGGGCUCCAUGUAGGCAGCCCUUAUUAUUGAAAAUAUUGCAUGCAGGAACGUGUGUGUGUGUAUGUGUGUUACAAAGUUUUUUUUAAUUAAGGAUGUGCUUGUUUGGGGGGUUCUUACUGCCAUUAGGUCACAUAGAAACAUUUAUAAAUAGUGGCGCUAUAGGUAAUCAUGCUGUUGAUAAUGGAGACUUGUUUGUAUUUACCGCUUUUAUUUAUUCCUCUGGGGUCUGUUGGGUCAGCGAGUUGUGUUACAGCACUGUGCCGAAAUAAUAAAAAAGAUGGAGAGAUGUUUCAAAACGGAGAAGGAAAA